Molecule: ribosomal RNA, 484 nt
Filed under: uncultured bacterium
Lineage: Bacteria
Description: partial 16S ribosomal RNA
Rfam family: Bacterial small subunit ribosomal RNA
Source: RNAcentral
AUUGAACGCUGGCGGCAUGCUUUACACAUGCAAGUCGAACGGUAACAGGGUGCUUGCACCGCUGACGAGUGGCGAACGGGUGAGUAAUGCAUCGGAAUGUACCGUGUAAUGGGGGAUAGCUCGGCGAAAGCCGGAUUAAUACCGCAUACGCCCUGAGGGGGAAAGUGGGGGACCGAAAGGCCUCACGUUAUACGAGCAGCCGAUGUCUGAUUAGCUAGUUGGUGAGGUAAAGGCUCACCAAGGCGUCGAUCAGUAGCGGGUCUGAGAGGAUGAUCCGCCACACUGGGACUGAGACACGGCCCAGACUCCUACGGGAGGCAGCAGUGGGGAAUUUUGGACAAUGGGCGCAAGCCUGUUCCAGCCAUGCCGCGUGUCUGAAGAAGGCCUUCGAGUUGUAAAGGACUUUUGUCCGGGAGCAAAUCCUAGUGGUUAAUAACCGCUGGGUCUGAGAGUACCGGAAGAAUAAGCACCGGCUAACUACGUG